This 253-nucleotide ribosomal RNA is filed under the name uncultured bacterium. RNAcentral's name for it is "partial 16S ribosomal RNA". It matches the Rfam family "Bacterial small subunit ribosomal RNA", at positions 524 to 776 of the family's 1533-position model. The record is from RNAcentral.
UACGGGGGGGGCAAGCGUUGUUCGGAAUUACUGGGCGUAAAGGGCUCGUAGGUGGCCAAUUAAGUCAGACGUGAAAUCCCCAGGCUCAACCUGGGAACUGCGUCUGAUACUGGUUGGCUUGAAUUCGGGAGAGGGAUGCAGAAUUCCAGGUGUAGCGGUGAAAUGCGUAGAUAUCUGGAGGAAUACCGGUGGCGAAGGCGGCUCCCUGGUCCAUUACUGACGCUGAGGUGCGAAAGCGUGGGGAGCAAACAGG